RNAcentral lists this ribosomal RNA (364 nucleotides) under uncultured bacterium. Its description in RNAcentral is "bacterial SSU rRNA". It matches the Rfam family "Bacterial small subunit ribosomal RNA", at positions 29 to 412 of the family's 1533-position model. The record is from RNAcentral.
AACGAACGCUGGCGGCAGGCCUAACACAUGCAAGUCGAACGAGAAGCCACCUUCGGGUGGUGGACAGUGGCAGACGGGUGAGUAACGCGUGGGAACGUGCCUUUCGGUUCGGGAUAACCCAGGGAAACUUGGGCUAAUACCGGAUACGCCCUCCGGGGGAAGGAUUCAUUGCCGAAAGAUCGGCCCGCGUCGGAUUAGCUAGUUGGUGGGGUAAAGCCUACCAAGGCGACGAUCCGUAGCUGGUCUGAGAGGACGACCAGCCACACUGGACUGAGACACGGCCCAGACUCCUACGGGAGGCAGCAGUGGGGAAUAUUGGACAAUGGGCGCAAGCCUGAUCCAGCGAUGCCGCGUGUGUGGAGAA